UGAAUCUAAAACUUAACUUAGAACAACUCUCAGCAACGGAUAUCUUGGCUCUUGCAACGAUGAAGAACGCAGCGAAAUGCGAUAC
RNAcentral lists this ribosomal RNA (85 nucleotides) under Bryum argenteum. Its description in RNAcentral is "partial 5.8S ribosomal RNA". The stretch from base 25 to 85 matches the Rfam family "5.8S ribosomal RNA", at positions 1 to 61 of the family's 154-position model. Rfam says of the family: 5.8S ribosomal RNA (5.8S rRNA) is a component of the large subunit of the eukaryotic ribosome. It is transcribed by RNA polymerase I as part of the 45S precursor that also contains 18S and 28S rRNA. Lineage: Eukaryota; Viridiplantae; Streptophyta; Bryopsida; Bryales; Bryaceae. The record is from RNAcentral.